This 495-nucleotide ribosomal RNA is filed under the name uncultured bacterium. Its description in RNAcentral is "partial 16S ribosomal RNA". It matches the Rfam family "Bacterial small subunit ribosomal RNA", at positions 28 to 507 of the family's 1533-position model. The record is from RNAcentral.
GACGAACGCUGGCGGCGUGCCUAAUACAUGCAAGUAGAACGCUGAAGGAGGAGCUUGCUUCUCUGGAUGAGUUGCGAACGGGUGAGUAACGCGUAGGUAACCUGCCUGGUAGCGGGGGAUAACUAUUGGAAACGAUAGCUAAUACCGCAUAAGAGUAGAUGUUGCAUGACAUUUGCUUAAAAGGUGCAAUUGCAUCACUACCAGUUGGACCUGCGUUGUAUUAGCUAGUUGGUGAGGUAACGGCUCACCAAGGCAACGAUACAUAGCCGACCUGAGAGGGUGAUCGGCCACACUGGGACUGAGACACGGCCCAGACUCCUACGGGAGGCAGCAGUAGGGAAUCUUCGGCAAUGGACGGAAGUCUGACCGAGCAACGCCGCGUGAGUGAAGAAGGUUUUCGGAUCGUAAAGCUCUGUUGUAAGAGAAGAACGAGUGUGAGAGUGGAAAGUUCACACUGUGACGGUAUCUUACCAGAAAGGGACGGCUAACUACGUG